AAAACUUUCAACAACGGAUCUCUUGGUUCUGGCAUCGAUGAAGAACGCAGCGAAAUGCGAUAAGUAAUGUGAAUUGCAGAAUUCAGUGAAUCAUCGAAUCUUUGAACGCACAUUGCGCCCUCUGGUAUUCCGGAGGGCAUGCCUGUCCGAGCGUCAUU
Molecule: ribosomal RNA, 158 nt
Filed under: Bacidia rubella
Lineage: Eukaryota; Fungi; Ascomycota; Lecanoromycetes; Lecanorales; Ramalinaceae
Description: 5.8S ribosomal RNA
Rfam family: 5.8S ribosomal RNA
About the family: 5.8S ribosomal RNA (5.8S rRNA) is a component of the large subunit of the eukaryotic ribosome. It is transcribed by RNA polymerase I as part of the 45S precursor that also contains 18S and 28S rRNA. Functionally, it is thought that 5.8S rRNA may be involved in ribosome translocation.
Source: RNAcentral